Non-coding RNA from Podarcis lilfordi (Lilford's wall lizard), 3443 nucleotides. The record is from the annotation of a GenBank genome assembly. NCBI's taxonomy places the organism in Eukaryota, Metazoa, Chordata, Lepidosauria, Squamata, Lacertidae.
AUGGCGAAGGUUGCGGGAGACGAGAGAGGAAAGGAGCUACGCGCAUGCGCGGCAAGCGGCCGCCUGGGCUACGCUUUCGAUUCUCCUCAGCUCGCGGGCGGAAUUUGCUGAGGCGUCUGAGGGGAAUGGAAAGCGAACCUGGAGCGCGAAGGGACAUUCCUCCCCUCCGCACCCUCGUGGGCUCUGAGUUUCCUGGAAGCGGCUGGGAUUCCCUUAAACCCCCUCAGGGGACGCCACAAGAUUGCUUGUAGGGUGUGAUUCGGCCCUGAACCAAAUAUAUUUUUAAACCUCUCGGCUUUCAAUGGUGCUUUGUGAUCGUGCUUGGGGGUUGCGUUUAAAAAUAAAAAAAACACCGAACGGUCCAGGUGCAAGUUCUGCUAUGUCCAAAGGCACUUGUCUACUCGAGAGUAGACCUCACUAAAUUCAGUAGGGUUUACUGCCAGUGAAGUGAGCAGAAAAUGGCAGCCUCGGCGCGACACUAUAAAGUCCUAACGUUUCCAACUAUAACCUCCAUAAAAUGUGCUCUGGGGAAACGUAAUUCUAAAAUACAGACGCACACACUUUUUUUACUAAAGAAAUGUUUAGGGAUAAUCCCCUUUUCCUAUCAUACUGAAAUACUGCCCCUCAGUGAGGCCAAACUUAAAUUCACAAAAUGUUUAGGAGUAUGCGUACUCCCAGAGAAAAGCACUGUGUGUGUGUGUACAGUGGUACCUCAGGUUACAUACACUUCAAGUUACAGACUCCGCUAACCCAGAAAUAGUACCUCAGGUUAAGAACUUUACCUCAGGAUGAGAACAGAAAUCGCGCGGCAGCGGGAGACCCCAUUAGCUAAAGUGGUGCUUCAGGUUAAGAACAGUUUCAGGUUAAGAACGGACCUCCGGAACGAAUUAAGUUCUUAACCCGAGGUACCACUAUUCGAAAUCUGUUGUGAUGGCUAGGUAUCCAAAACAGGGCUAAUGCAAAAUAGGAGGACAUGUUUGGGGGAGGAACUCCAGAUUUGCAGAACAACUUUGCAGAAAAACCUUUGUGCCAUUGCAGAACUGGGGCUCUGGUAGUUGGAAUGGAGUAUCCUGAAAACGGCAUGGCUGGGCACAGAAAUCAGGGCCUUUUCAGUCAUGGCAAAGGGUACUUGGGGAAGGCCCUUGCCAGGGAAGCCCAUCCAGCCCAUCAUAAAUUUUGCUAGUUGUGUGAAAUAUAAUUGUUUCUGAAAUAUACUCAGAGUUGCAAAGUGAUUUCAUGCUCUUUAUUCAGCUCAUAGUGGUGAGGAGGAAUGAAUGAAAGUCCCCUCAAAGUAUCUGCUUUAUAUACAUUAUUUACACAAUGGGCUGCACAUGAUUGGCUAUUUCCGGAAUUCUACUGUAAGCCAAUCAGGUUGUGGAUUCACUUCUAUCUGGAGCAUGAUUGGGUGGUUCCUGCCAACCAAUCAUACUGCUGCAUUGUUCUAGGACCAAUCAGACUGCUGCAGUUUGGAUCCUAUUCAACUCAGUACAUAACAGUUUCCAAAUUACAUUCCUCUCCCCACCUUUGCUUCCUGACCCCAUACUAGUUUUCCUACCUGUUCUCAGACAUUAUUUUAAAAUAGUUGGCUUGCUCUGUUUAAACUCUCCAAUUGAUUCUGUUCUACAUCUGAAGUAAGCUAAUUCCCUUUUUGAUAUAAUAAAUUUACUUGGGAUUGAUCUUCCUGUCGACACUUGGGGUGCCAUCUUUCAGAGCACAUCCAGCCAUCGCUGUGGAAAAAUCCCUAGAACUGAGUGUUAGGAUUGCAUGUGAGAACUGCAGGCUUCCAUGCAAACUGCACACUUCGUAACAGGAAGUAGCCACUGCUGAGCAUAGCACAAAACACACUAAAAUGAGUCAGUUCCUAUUUGUAGUGGUUUCAGCAAAAUCAACAAGUAAAUCUCGUGGCACGUUAGAGUCUACCAAAUUAAUUAUGGCCCACAUAUACUGUGGACUACAGUGCACAUUUGUGAAAUUUGUGGCCCUCCAGAUGCUGUUGGAUUCCACAUCCCAUCAGCCCCAGCCAGAAGGAUCAAAAGUUAUGGAUGAUAGGAGUUAUAGUCGAGUCAUCUGGAAGACACCAUGUUGACAACCACUGUUCAACCCUUUACUUGAAAGAAAUAAUCCUAUUAACCACACACUGUUGCUGUUUUCUGUUGUUAACAACGUAGCAUAACCAUUUUUGGACAUUCUUUCUGCCAAGAGGGGCUGAAAGGGGAGAUGCUUUGCAUUUAUGUGGCACAAAGGCAACAUUUUCAGCAGUGAGAACAACCUUUUUCAUUUGGUUGUUUGAUGUGGCUAUCGAGAAAUCAAAGCCCAAAAGAUCAAAAGAUUACGGUAUUAAAGGAAGAUUAUUGUGCUUCAGUUUAAUGGAAAAUACUCCGCACAAGCUUUAAAAAACACACAAAAACACAUUGCAUCCCAACUUUAUGAACAGUAGUUUGCUCUUUAAUCCACUUAUAACCUCUUGGGACAUUAUCAGGAGUCCUUUAGGUGUGCAGAAGGGGUUCCUCGCAUACUCUGCCAUCUAGCUUAAGCUUACCCUCCAUGCAGCCUAUAAACACUACCUGGUGUCGCUAUGCAAAUUUCUUCUUCCAAAAAUCCUCAGGGGAUUGUCAAAAAGUAAGCAGAGCAGCUAUUACCAAAGAAGAAACAGUUUGCAAUCCUAACUCUUGACUACAGUGGGAUUUAAUUUGGAGCAGGUGUGGGGAACGUUUUGCCCACCAGAUGUUGAUAAACUACAAGUACUAUCAUCCCUGACCAUUGACCACGUUUACUGAGACUGAUGGGCUUUGUAGCUCAGCCACAUUUAGAGGGCGAAAGGUUUCCUAAUGCUGAUUUUGAAUAAAAUUGUUUAGGACUGGACAUGCAGCUUGUUUGCAGUCUUCAGGGUGGUAGCCUAGGAUUACCUUCUGCUUGUUGACUCCUUUUCUUCUUACUUCACAGACAACAGUAGUCAUGGUGCUGCCUCCAGGGUGGAGCUGCUGCAAACUUCAGGUGCUAACGCACAUUCCCCACAUAUUUCUUCUAGGGCGUAUGACAUUGACUCACAACAAAAUUGACUGUAGGCAUCUUGUUAUGCAUGGUGGUUGUGUUGCCAGCGCUUAAAGUAAUGGCGUGUUGCUGUUAAUCCAUUGACUCCGCAAUGUUGCCAGUCACAAUGGGAAGCACAUGGUUCUCCUCAAACAGCCUUUGGUGAGUCAUCCCUGUAGUCUCUUCUACACCAAAGGCUUGUUGGACUUGCAGGGGUGAGAAAAGUUCAGCGAGAAAGAGAAAGGUAUUCCUUCGUUUUAUCACCUCCCUGAAGUGUUCUGAGCUUGGUCAAGAUAAGUCUCCCUCAGGUAAACAUUCAGUCUCAAAGAAAUGUCUCUUUAUGGUCUUCCCUUCACAAAUACAAGCCUUGUUGAACAAGAUGAAAAUGGCAGGAAUUGCCUUGAGGGAGCAUU